Molecule: long non-coding RNA, 696 nt
Organism: Gossypium raimondii (Peruvian cotton)
Lineage: Eukaryota; Viridiplantae; Streptophyta; Magnoliopsida; Malvales; Malvaceae
Exons: 2
Source: RefSeq, a predicted model, not a curated record
UUUUAAAACCAAAUUAAAAAGCUUUUUGUUCAAAUCUGCAGAAGAAGGGAGACCGCCGUCCCUGUCCUCGGUCGCUUCAUCUUCGAGACCUUCGCCCAUUCAACUCCGUCUCAGGCAGAGGAAAGGAGAGCGUCAAUACUUCGCAAUGGUACGGGCAUCGUGCGAAGCUACCAGACGUGGGUGAGACGACGUGGGCAGUUGCUAUGCGUUCGUGCGUGAAGACGAUUGCUGCAACGUGGGGGCGAGGGUGACGCCGAUCUGCUGCUUAUUGCCAAAGGUUUCUGCUGUUCAUUUUUUUGUGUUUUAGGCUAAUGGGUUAGGUAUUUGGGCUGUUUGGGUACUGGGCUUGUAAUUUGGUUAUUGGGUCAGGGUGUUAUUGGGUUUGUAAUUGUCUUUAAUUUUAGUUUUUGGUUUGGGCCCGGGCUAAAAUGGCCUAUUACAGAGUUAAGGCGGUCCAAGUCAGAUGAAAUCAAGUCAAAUCAAAAUAAUAAUAAAAAAUUAAAACGUUGAUCGACGAUUGAUGAACAUGUAACAAUGCAUGGGCCUCUAUUUGAAGGUUUGACGACGGGUGACGCAUAUAUGUAAUGGGGUGUUUUCGAGCAUCUUAUGGCUCAUAUGAUGUUUUUCACUAUUUGCAUUAUUUUGUUAUAUGCCAUGUUUAAAUACAAUAUUGCAUUAAUUUAUCUUUUGAUGUCA